RNAcentral lists this signal recognition particle RNA (272 nucleotides) under Nanobdellota archaeon. Its description in RNAcentral is "signal recognition particle sRNA". It matches the Rfam family "Archaeal signal recognition particle RNA". Lineage: Archaea; Nanobdellati; Nanobdellota. The record is from RNAcentral.
CAGAUUGCUAGACUGGGUGGCUCGUCCUCACCUGUAACUGCAAACGGAUGUACGGCAGGGUUGAAGCCUGAGGGGCGGCGUAAUUUUAGUUAUAGGUCUUGGUUGGACCGUCGACGUCUUGUCCUUUAGGAUCAGGAUUUUUAUGAACUGAGUCAGAUCAGGAAUGAAGCAGCUCUAAGUAUUAAUCGUGGUGUCUAAGGGGUUGCAGGAUUGAGGAAAAAUCAAGGUAGCCUUUGAUUGGAGUUUUCGUCCACCUUCAGGCGUGCACUUUU